RNAcentral lists this ribosomal RNA (1440 nucleotides) under metagenome. RNAcentral describes it as "bacterial LSU rRNA". It matches the Rfam family "Bacterial large subunit ribosomal RNA", at positions 1472 to 2925 of the family's 2925-position model. The record is from RNAcentral.
ACACAGAGACAAAGGACGAGCCGGGAAUGGAAAAACCGGUGCAAGCGAGGUAGCUUCAUGGGAGGGAAAGCCCCCAUGUAUAAGGCGAAUGCGUAAAGCGUAGCGAACUUAAAAGUAGCGAAGCGUGUGGAGUCACUGUCAGGAAAAGCCGCUAUUGCGUAUCAUGAACCCGUACCGUAAACCGACACAGGUGGAUGAGGAGAGAAUCCUAAGGCCGACGGAAGAAGCAUUGUUAAGGAAUUCGGCAAAAUGACCCCGUAACUUCGGGAGAAGGGGUGCCUACGAAUGUAGGCCGCAGAGAAUUGGCCCAAGCAACUGUUUAGCAAAAACACAGGUUUAUGCGAAACCGAAAGGUGAAGUAUAUGAGCUGACGCCUGCCCGGUGCUGGAAGGUUAAGGGGAGAGCUUAGAGGCAACUCGAAGGUUCGAACUUAAGCCCCAGUAAACGGCGGCCGUAACAAUAACGGUCCUAAGGUAGCGAAAUUCCUUGUCGGGUAAGUUCCGACCCGCACGAAAGGCGUAAUGAUUUGGGCACUGUCUCGACAAUGCAUCCGGUGAAAUUGAAAUACCAGUGAAGAUGCUGGUUACCCGCGCCAGGACGGAAAGACCCCAUGGAGCUUUACUCCAGUUUGAUGCUGGGAUUCGGUACUGCAUGUACAGGAUAGGCGGGAGACUAGGAAGAUAUAACGCCAGUUGUAUCAGAGUCGCUGUUGGGAUACCGCCCUUGUAGUACUGGGUUUCUAACCUGCCACCGUGAACCGGUGGAGGGACAACGUCAGGCGGGGAGUUUGACUGGGGCGGUCGCCUCCGAAAGGGUAUCGGAGGCGCUCAAAGGUUCCCUCAGAAUGGUUGGAAACCAUUCGAAGAGUGCAAAGGCAGAAGGGAGCUUGACUGCGAGGUCGACGGACCGAGCAGGUACGAAAGUAGGACUUAGUGAUCCGGUGGUAGAAAGUGGGAUUGCCAUCGCUCAACGGAUAAAAGCUACCCUGGGAUAACAGGCUAAUCACUCCCAAGAGUUCACAUCGACGGAGUGGUUUGGCACCUCGAUGUCGGCUCAUCGCAUCCUGGGGCUGUAGCAGGUCCCAAGGGUUGGGCUGUUCGCCCAUUAAAGCGGUACGCGAGCUGGGUUCAGAACGUCGUGAGACAGUUCGGUCCCUAUCCGGCGCGGGCGUAGGAUAUCUGAAAGGAGCUGGCCUUAGUACGAGGGACCGGGCUGGACGGACCGCUGGUGUAUCUGUUGUCAUACCAAUGGCAUAGCAGGGUAGCCAAGUCUGGAAGGGAUAAACGCUGAAGGCAUCUAAGCGUGAAGCCCCCCUUAAGAUAAGAUAUCCCUGGAGUUAAUCCAGUAAGACCCCUUGAAGAUGACGAGGUAGAUAGGGCAGAGGUGGAAGUGUGGUAACACAUGGAGCUGACUGUCACUAAUAGGUCGAGGGCUUGACCU